CCCAACUUCGGUUAUAAGAUCCCUCGAAGAUGACGAGGUUAAUAGGUUCGAGGUGGAAGCGUGGUGACACGUGGAGCUGACGAAUACUAAUCGAUCGAAGACUUAAUCAA
RNAcentral lists this ribosomal RNA (110 nucleotides) under Staphylococcus epidermidis NIHLM001. RNAcentral's name for it is "partial 23S ribosomal RNA". It matches the Rfam family "Bacterial large subunit ribosomal RNA", at positions 2814 to 2925 of the family's 2925-position model. Lineage: Bacteria; Bacillati; Bacillota; Bacilli; Caryophanales; Staphylococcaceae. The record is from RNAcentral.